RNAcentral lists this small nuclear RNA (263 nucleotides) under Erinaceus europaeus (western European hedgehog). Its description in RNAcentral is "7SK RNA". It matches the Rfam family "7SK RNA", at positions 1 to 297 of the family's 331-position model. From Rfam's summary of the family: 7SK was discovered as an abundant small nuclear RNA in the mid-70s but a possible function has only recently been suggested. Two independent studies have found that 7SK RNA binds the CDK9/cyclin T complex (known as elongation factor P-TEFb). Lineage: Eukaryota; Metazoa; Chordata; Mammalia; Eulipotyphla; Erinaceidae. The record is from Rfam by way of RNAcentral.
GGAUGUGAGGGCGAUCUGGCUGCAACAACUGUCACCCCACGGAUUCGGGGUUGAUUCGGCUGAUGUGGCUGGCUAGGCAGGUGUCCCCUCCCUCCCUCACCACUCCCUGUGUGUCCCGCACUUGGUGGAAGAGAAUGGACUUUAGAGCCAGACCGGUCUUCCGUCAAGGGUAUACGAGUAGCUGUGCUCCCCUGCUACAAACUCCAAACAAGCUCUCAAGGUCCAACAACAACAACAACAUCAAUAACAACAGUAACAAUAAU